CAUGCAUCCAAUAUAUAUUAUCUUUCACAUGAUAUUAAAUAUUAAAUUAAAAACAGACAAAUUUUUCAGAAUGUUUGUCAUCUCUCAUUAGCUCGUAAUGAGAUACUUUUGAUUUAUUUAAUGCAUGUCCUCUAACUGUCACCUGAUAGCAUAGGGGAAAAAUAUAUAGGUGAAAAUCACUGGAAAACGCUUUCUGUUUGGUACCAUGUUUUGGAGACAGCCUCAAUAAGUUUAUAUGUAUAAGACGUAGUCAUGACAUGAAUUCUUAAGAGCGAUGCCCCAUUUUUAGGUUAUGUCCGUAGCAGUUCAUAAAUAGAGAAGUCAAACUGCGAUAUAGAAGUCUCUUCCUUAUGAAUAAACAUGGAUAAAUUAUAAAAAAUAUCAAAGGAAUAUUUUAUAGGUUAUUUAUAAAAAAAAAGAUGUUAAAAUAAUUUUUUGAAAAAUUAAAUAUUGUUAAACGAAGAAUGACUUUUAAAACGUGAUAAUUUUGCUCAGUGAUUAGAAAAAUAAUACAUAAUUGUUUAUCAAGUAAACAGUAGUCUGAUCAAGAGCUGAUGUUAGUGAAUUAUCAAUAUUAACUAAUAUUGGACAUUGCUUAUGGAGUAAGUUGAACAAAUUUCUAAAACUAAUUUAAGAAGAAUUUUGCGAAAUAUAUUUGAAUUAUUAUUAAUUCUUACAUAAUUAAAAAACGAAAUUCUAUUUUCAAAAUCCCAUAAACAAAUAAAUCUCAAGAAAUCAAAAUUCCAAACAAUGUAACAAUAUAUAAAAAGAUUUUAUAUAAUUCUAAUAAUAUUAAGAUUUAAAACUUUUUUUUUCAGAAACAAAAUUUUAUUUUCAAAAUCUUAUGAAUAAAUAAUAAAUGAAUAAAUAAUUUCAAAAAUCAAAAUUUCAAAUCUGAAAAGAAAAAAUAAAACUUUAUAAAGCAAUUUUACUUGCAACUUGCAAGUAAUAACAAAUACAUGAAAAAUAUCCAAAAAGCUUUUUUGUAUGAUUUAAUAGCAUUAUGGGACUGGAAACGUUCAAGAUUACCAGAACCAGUUAAUCUGAAAACCUGUACAAAUAUAUAUCCGACUAACAAGGGAUGGGAUUCUACCAAUGAAUAUUACUUCUCCGAUUAUUAAUUCCAUUAAUAUAUCUCAACCGUUUCGACCGUUAUAAUACCGUUAAAAUUAUACUAAUAAAUCGUCCUGAUAAUCCCGCCAUUAACGUGUACCUCGCCUCGUUUUAUCGACAGCGUUUGUCGUUUCGCGAGUCAUUGUCGCGGAAAAUAUCCGCUCCGCCAGUCUGGUUGGAUUGUUCACCCAUUUACAGGGUAGAAAUCUCGUAUGAUAGAAACCACUGUAUUGUACUAAGUGCCAUGAAGAUAAAUUUGUUCAUUCGUCUUGUAAAAACAUGUCCAAUCAUUGGAAAAAGCUUCUCAAAAGUGC
Long non-coding RNA from Apis dorsata (giant honeybee), 1427 nucleotides. RefSeq lists it as uncharacterized. Lineage: Eukaryota; Metazoa; Arthropoda; Insecta; Hymenoptera; Apidae. The transcript is spliced from 3 exons. The record is from RefSeq and is a predicted model, not a curated record.